RNAcentral lists this long non-coding RNA (340 nucleotides) under Sinocyclocheilus anshuiensis. RNAcentral describes it as "lncRNA (ENSSANG00000002670.1)". The record is from RNAcentral. Lineage: Eukaryota; Metazoa; Chordata; Actinopteri; Cypriniformes; Cyprinidae.
CUAACCGUUAGGCUAACUCGUCUUAAGAGCGGACGCUUAGGCAGGUAAACGGAGGAAUGAGGUGUUUCCAUUGCAUUUAUCUGAGUUAUCGCCUCAGCAUGUGGAAGCAUACCGACUGCUAGAGGACAGGAAACACAAACUCUCACCUGAGACUGCUGCCCUCUACCUGCUUCGACAACAGCACAACUAUUGGAGACUGAGAUCAGCAGGAAGAGAAAGGAGUGUGAAGUCCUUGAGGAGGAGGUGAAGAAAAAGAGCCAGUCAUGUCAAACUCUGGUGAGAGCCUUUACAAGUUCACAUCUUACGAGAGGGUCUCACAUGCUGGGUGUCAUAUCAACAC